Molecule: ribosomal RNA, 450 nt
Filed under: uncultured bacterium
Lineage: Bacteria
Description: bacterial SSU rRNA
Rfam family: Bacterial small subunit ribosomal RNA
Source: RNAcentral
UCGAGAAUUUUUCACAAUGGGGGAAACCCUGAUGGAGCGACGCCGCGUGGAGGAUGAAGGUUUUCGGAUUGUAAACUCCUGUCACUGCAGAACAAGGGUGGGCUUGUUAAUAGCAAAUCCAUUUGAUGGUAUGCGGAGAGGAAGGGACGGCUAACUCUGUGCCAGCAGCCGCGGUAAGACAGAGGUCCCGAGCGUUGUUCGGAUUCAUUGGGCGUAAAGGGUGUGUAGGAGGUCGGGUAAGUCAGGUGUGAAAUCUCAGAGCUUAACUCUGAAACUGCGCUUGAUACUGCCCGGCUAGAGGAUCGGAGGGGGUAACGGAAUUCAUGGUGUAGCAGUGAAAUGCGUAGAUAUCAUGAGGAACACCGGUGGCGAAGGCGGUUACCUGGAAGAUUCCUGACUCUGAAACACGAAAGCCAGGGGAGCAAACGGGAUUAGAUACCCCGGUAGUCC